Non-coding RNA from Pelobates cultripes (western spadefoot toad), 421 nucleotides. The record is from the annotation of a GenBank genome assembly. NCBI's taxonomy places the organism in Eukaryota, Metazoa, Chordata, Amphibia, Anura, Pelobatidae.
GGACAUUUAAGAAAAAAAUCCCAAACUGAGGACAAUAAAGUAAUAUCAAAGCAUUUAAAUCUAAAACAAAUGUUUGCCCUCUUGAGUUUAUGCUCUGGACCUUUGUUGGUGAGAAUCUGUUAUCAUUGAAUCUUCUUAUUUACAACAUGAUUGUUUUUAAAUUGUAUCAUUAAUUUCUGCCUUGCGACCUUCUCAGAGAGAGCCUGAGGUUUGGGUCUAUAUCAGCCAAUGCGAUGUACAUAUCUGACACUGCUACACAGUAUCCGUGAUGACACUCUUACAACCAGAUAUUUCUGUUCCUUUUAUAAAUACUUUCAGGACAGUGCAAUUCCUGUGGAAUAGUUAGUUAUUACAUUCUUCUUCACAUACUAUACUAAUUAUAGAUGUGUCUGCCAUGCGAUGGGAAACACCCCAAACAAAU